Non-coding RNA from Salarias fasciatus (jewelled blenny), 73 nucleotides. NCBI's taxonomy places the organism in Eukaryota, Metazoa, Chordata, Actinopteri, Blenniiformes, Blenniidae. The record is from the annotation of a RefSeq genome assembly.
GAGACACUAGUUAAAUUGAUUAUAACAAUGCUUUGUCAAGGCAUAAUUGUAGGUUGAAGUCCUACGUAUCUUA